RNAcentral lists this ribosomal RNA (253 nucleotides) under uncultured bacterium. RNAcentral's name for it is "partial 16S ribosomal RNA". It matches the Rfam family "Bacterial small subunit ribosomal RNA", at positions 524 to 776 of the family's 1533-position model. The record is from RNAcentral.
UACAGAGGGUGCGAGCGUUAAUCGGAAUUACUGGGCGUAAAGCGUGCGCAGGCGGUUUUGUAAGUCAGAUGUGAAAUCCCCGGGCUCAACCUGGGAAUGGCAUUUGGGACUGCAAGGCUUGAGUGCGGAAGAGGAGACUGGAAUUCCUGGUGUAGCAGUGAAAUGCGUAGAUAUCAGGAGGAAUACCGAUGGCGAAGGCAGGUCUCUGGGCUGACACUGACGCUCAUGCACGAAAGCGUGGGGAGCAAACAGG